CAAUAGCGUAUAUUAAAGUUGUUGCAGUUAAAACGCUCGUAGUCGGAUUUCGGGGCGGGUCCGCCGGUCUGCCGAUGGGUACGCACUGGCGGGCGCGUCCUUCCUUCCGGAGACUGGCCCUACUCUUAGCUGAGCGGGGUCGGGGGUCGGAUCGUUUACUUUGAAAAAAUCAGAGUGUUUCAAGCAGGCAGCUCGCUCUUGCAUGGAUUAGCAUGGGAUAAUGAAAUAGGACUUUGGUGCUAUUUUGUUGGUUUCGAACACCGAAGUAAUGAUUAACAGGGACAGUCAGGGGCACUCGUAUUCCGCCGAGAGAGGUGAAAUUCUCAGACCAGCGGAAGACGAACCACUGCGAAAGCAUUUGCCAGGGAUGUUUUCACUGA
Molecule: ribosomal RNA, 380 nt
Filed under: uncultured eukaryote
Lineage: Eukaryota
Description: partial 18S ribosomal RNA
Rfam family: Eukaryotic small subunit ribosomal RNA
Source: RNAcentral